RNAcentral lists this ribosomal RNA (984 nucleotides) under Triticum aestivum (bread wheat). RNAcentral describes it as "partial small subunit ribosomal RNA". The record is from RNAcentral. Lineage: Eukaryota; Viridiplantae; Streptophyta; Magnoliopsida; Poales; Poaceae.
AUGGCCGGCGACACGGCACCGCACGUCGUGGAGGAUCUCCUCCGCCUCGUCCAGAUCCUGAGUGACGGCUCCGUCGUCCGCGGCGACGAGUCCGUCCUCGGCCCAAAGGAGCCCUUCCCGGACGUCCCCGGCGUGGAAUGGAAGGACGUGGUGUACCACGCGGCGCACGGCCUCCGCGUCCGCGUCUACAGGCCGACUUCGGUGGUGGCCGGCGGCGACAAGCUCCCGGUGCUGGUGUACUUCCACGGCGGCGGCUACUGCCUCGGCUCCUUCGCCCAGCCGACCUUCCACGCGUUCUGCCUCCGCGCCGCCGCCGAGCUCCCGGCCGUCGUGCUGUCCGUGCAGUACCGCCGCGCCCCCGAGCACCGCCUCCCCGCCGCCAUCGACGACGGCGCGGCUUUCCUCUCCUGGCUGCGCGGCCAGGCCGAGCUCGGCGCCGGCGCCGACCCGUGGCUCGCGGAGUCGGCCUGCUUCGCCCGGACGUUCCUCUCCGGCGUCUCCGCGGGCGCCAACUUGUCCCACCACCUCAUCGUCCAGGUCGGCUCGGCGCGCCUCGCGGUCAGCCCCGUGCGCAUCGUCGGGUACGUACUCCUCUCUGCCUUCUUCACCGGCGCCGAGCGCACGGCUGCGGAGACAGACCCGCCGGCGGACGUGUUCCUGCCGCUGGAGCUGUCCGACCAGCUCUGGCACAUGUCGCUUCCGGUUGGGGCGAGCAGGGACCACCCGGUGGCGAAUCCGUUCGGGCCGGAGAGCCCCAACCUCGCGCCGGUGGAGCUCCCGCCGGCUCUCGUCGUGGCGCCGUUGGGCGACGUGCUCCGUGAUCGCUCGCUGGGUUACGCGGCGAGGCUCAAGGACAUGGGGAAGGACGUGGAGCUUGUCGAGUUCGAGAGGCAGCAGCAUGGCUUCUCCGUCCUUCAGCCGUUCGGCGAGGCGGCCGACGAGUUGAUGCGAGUCCUCAGGCGGUUCGUGUACCCCGCCCGCUGA